Molecule: ribosomal RNA, 253 nt
Filed under: uncultured archaeon
Lineage: Archaea
Description: partial 16S ribosomal RNA
Rfam family: Archaeal small subunit ribosomal RNA
Source: RNAcentral
UACCUGGGCCCCUAGUGGUGACCGCUAUUAUUGGGUUUGAAGCGUUCGUAGCCGGUCUUGUAAGUCCCUAAUGAAAUUCGGCAGAUGACUGUCGAGAUUGUUGGGGAUACUGCAAGGCUUGAGACCGGGAGAGGUAGAGGGUAUUCUUGGGGUAAGGGUAAAAUCUUAUAAUCCCAAGAGGACCACCUGUGGCGAAGGCGCUCUACUAGAACGGAUCUGACGGUGAGGGACGAAAGCCAGGGGAGCAAACGGG